CCUGGCCGAGCUAGCUUCAGGCUAAUUGGUGCUUGCUCCAGGAUGGAAACGCUAGCCAGGAGUAGUCACCCGGGAUUGCAGUUUGCUAGUUGCGAAGAUCCAGAUGAAAAUGUUCAGAGUUUGCGGUAGGAAUCCGGGGAAAAAAUAUAUAAAAUAAUAAUAGGUCCGUUAUGCUCUGGUUUGAGUCACGUUGUUCGAACUGGCGAGAGCUUUCCGAGCUAAAGGUUAGCUGAUGACCACUAGCAAUGGUUUGCUGACUGGUAGCUGGUAGGUAGUUAGCUGGCUAGCUUCAGUUGAGGGAUUCCAGAUCCGAAGUAAAUAGAAAGACUUUAGAAAAAAAACAGAUCCACGCCACAUUGGGUGAGGUGGGUUGCAGGAGAGUAUUUAGAAGUUGAGGUUUAGGAAAAUAUUUUAAAUAGAUAUGCGAAGAAAAAAUGUAAAAAGAUAUAUACAAGAGACACGACAGGACAAAGACGUCUGACUGCUACGCCAUCUUGGAAAUCUCAAACGUACAUAUUUUUAAAAGUAAUUCUAGUGCCUGAUUUUGGGGACUGUCAGCUUAAUAAAUAACCUAUCAUGCUUCAGUUCACACCUGUGCACACACCUGUGUAUGUGAGUUGAGCGGAGUCAGGAGAGGAGCGUUCCCAAUUUGACUGGAGUGCUGAGCGAGAUUCCCAAAGGCUGGAGCAUCGGCCUUUUAAUCCCCUCCAAUUUCAGUAGCGCUCACUUAAUUAGCUCAGGGCAUGCCUGGCCCAGCAUGCAUUUGUAGUCUACUUGUGUGCUGGUAUAGCCCCUUGCUUUAGCUACCCACUAGUGAUGGGUCGUUCGCGAACGAGUCAGCUUCUAAGAGCCGGCUCUUGUUGGUGAACGUUGGGAGCCGGCUCGCAUAUCAGAAGAGCCAAAUCUAUUUUUAAAAAUAUACAAAUUUAGCAUAUGAAUAAUCAAAAUAUUUAAAUGAAUAGAAUGAACUAAUUCAAAGAACGAAAAAAUACAGCAAAUAAUUUAGGCCUAAAUGCUCAAGGGCACACACAUUCGUUCUGACUGUCUGCCCAGACUAACAGCCUCACCUGUGGUUCCUGUCAAUCAGACACGCAAUGUCAACCAAUGAACCAAAGAUGCGUGAGGGAGGGCCGAGCCAACUCACUCACAGUCACACACUUAGCAGCCGAGGAGAGAGAGGAAAGACAGCUGUGAAAACAACAGCUGGAAACAGCUGUUGUUUUCAGCUGGAAAACAGCUGGAAAAUGCUGGAAAAUGAGCCCAACAGCUGGAAAAUGAGUCGGAAGCACAGUAACAUUUGGAUGCAUUUUAAUAAUGUAGACAACGUUAGAGCACAGUGUAGAAUUUGCCAAAACAAAAUCUCAUAUAAAGCCGGUUAUAUGCACAACCUACACCGGCAUAUGUGAACUGUGCACCCAACUGUGAAGCUUGCUAUAGCGGAGCUUCGAGAAACUAGCGGGCCUGCUAGUGAUAGUGGUGGAGCCAGCACCUCCACACGUGGAGAUGUAUCCACUCAGUCAACUAGGCCUGCUAGUGAUAGUGGUGGAGCCAGCACCUCCACACGUGAAGAUGUAUCCACUCAGUCAACUAGACCUGCUAGUGAUAGUGGUGGAGCCAGCACCUCCACACGUGGAGAUGUAUCCACUCAGUCAACUAGGCCUACUAGUGAUGGUGGUGGAGCCAGCACCUCCACACGUGGAGAUGUAUCCACUCAGUCAAGUAGGCCUACUAGUGAUAGUGGUGGAGCCAGCCCAGUCAACUAGGCCUGCUAGUGAUAGUGGUGGAGCCAGCACCUCCACACGUGGAGAUGUAUCCACUCAGUCCAGUAGGCCUACUAGUGAUAGUGGUGGAGCCAGUACCUCCACACGUGGAGAUGUAUCCACUCAGUCAAGUAGACCUACUAGUGAUAGUGGUGGAGCCAGUACCUCCACACGUGGAGAUGUAUCCACUCAGUCAAGUAGGCCUGCUAGUGAUAGUGGUGGAGCCAGCACCUCCACACGUGGAGAUGUAUCCACUCAGUCCAGUAGGCCUGCUAGUGAUAGUGGUGGAGCCAGUACCUCCACACAUGGAGAUGUAUCCACUCAGUCCAGUAGACCUGCAAGUGAUAGUGGUGGAGCCAGCACCUCCACACGUGGAGAUGUAGCCACUCAGUCCAGUAGGCCUACUAGAGAUAGUGGUGGAGCCAGCACCUCCACACGUUGAGAUGUAUCCACUCAGUCAAGUAGGCCUACUAGUGAUAGUGGUGGAGCCAGCACCUCACACGUGGAGAUGUAUCCACUCAGUCAAGUAGGCCUACUCCAUGACCCACAGCAAUGCAGUCUUCUAUGGACCAGUUUAUGCCAAAAUCUAUGUCUGUAGCAAAACAAGGCCAAAUUGAUAUCGCAUUGGCCUAAAUGAUUGCCAUCAAUUUCCAGCCAUUUUUGAUCAUGGAGGACAGAGGUUUUAGAAAUUAUAGCAAUAGUCUAAAUCCAAUGUACACAAUUCCAAGCAGGAAAACCCCUUCAAAAUCACUUAUUCCACAACUGGCUUCAGUGCGGGAAAGAGUCCAAAAAGCUACUGCAGUUUGCCUUGACUGCUGGAUAUCAAGGGUAACCACUUCUUACAUGUUGGUUACAUGUCACUUCAUUGAAGAUUUUUCGAUGUCUAGCUGCCUUCUGGACUGCUUUGAGUUCAGCGACAGACACACCUCAGAGAACUUGGCAGAGGAACUGUUGAGAGGGACCAGAGAAUGGCAAGUAGAUGGAAAAGUGAUCUGUUGUGUUAGCGACAAUGCAGCUAACAUAACCAAAGCCAUGAACAUUUUAAAAUGGACCCAUCAUCCAUGUCUUGCCCACACAAUCAACCUGAUUGUAAGAGAUGCUCUAAAGGUGAUGAAGCCCACAGUGGACAAAGUGAAAGCAGCUGUGGAAUACUUCCAUAGGAGCACAGUCGGUGCUGAAAAACUAAAGUCUUCACAACGCCAGAUGGGGAUGCCUGAGCUGAGGCCUAACUAGACGCACUACAAGGUGGAAUUCAACAUUUUAUAUGUUGAAGCGGUUUCUUGAGUCAAAGGAUGCCAUCAUCUCUACCCUGGCCAUUGUCAAUGCACCUGUUGAUGCUCUGACCCAAGAGGAAUGGGAGGUGGUGGAGGAGGUGUGCAGAGUCCUGGAACCCUUUGAGCAGGUCACUGUGGAGAUCAGCGGAGAGAGCUUUGUGACAGCCUCAAAAAUGAUACUCCUGUGUAAGGGUCUGCAGCGAAUCACAGCCAGCCGCCAGAGAGAAGCAAAUGUAACCACAGGAUAUGUGACAGAGUUGAUGGACACCCUGUGUUCAUCAAUGCACAAAAAGUUCCACAGAAUGGAAUAUAAUCACGUGCUAUCAGAAACCGCUGCACUUGACCCCAGGUUUAAGAAGUUAGCCUUCAGUGAUGCCAGAACGAUUGAUGAGGCUCUUCAAAGAAUAACCUCAGCAGCAGGGAGGGACAGCCCCAGCAGUCAGCUGGCUCAGGCACCAGGGCAAGAGGAAGAAGAGGGAUCAGAUGGAGCAGAAGCACCAUCAGUAGUGCCACAAACGUCUGCUGUUUGGAUGCUGUUUGACAAGAGAGCAACUGGGGAUGCAGCACGAAGGAAUCCCUCAGCAGAUGCCAUAAUGGAGGUCCGAUCCUAUUUGGAGGAGCCCCUCCAAAGAUCUGCAGAUCCUCUGAGCUGGUGGAAGAACAAGGCCUCUGUCUACCUACGGCUUACUAAAGUCAUGACAGCGAGACUCUGCAUAGUGGCCACAUCCGUUCCCUCUGAGAGGGUCUUCUCAAAAAUGGGACAAAUAAUUACUGAGAGAAGAAACCGCAUCAGCCCCUCGAAAGUGAGGCAGCUUGCAUUUCUGAAUGCAAAUCUCUCAUUAAAGCAAAAUAUGGGCAGCAUUGCUGUGUGCUGCUGGUUAUAACAUGGCAAUAAAGAAGAGAGAGAAAAGAGGGACCAGUUUAAUGUUUUAAGUGGGAUGCUGCAGUUUUGCACAUUGUUAUUUAUUUUUCUUUGAUAUGGUGCAAUAUUCUAUUAUGUUGUUCAGAUUGUAUUAGAUUUGAAUUGUUACAUUUAUAUGCACUUUGUUAAUAUACAUUAAAAAGUUAUACUUUAAA
Molecule: long non-coding RNA, 4111 nt
Filed under: Salmo salar (Atlantic salmon)
Lineage: Eukaryota; Metazoa; Chordata; Actinopteri; Salmoniformes; Salmonidae
Description: lncRNA (ENSSSAG00000119240.1)
Source: RNAcentral